GGCCGGUCACACCGCUUGAUUGCUGGCACAGCCUGGCUACUAAUCCACUCGCACGUCACGUGACCGCUCAGCCUUGCCUUAUCCUUUCCCCACCGCUGUUUGAGCACUAUUUCCUCUCCUUCUUCCACAAGACUGCUUCUCUUUCUCCUCCUCUUCCAUCUCCCUCGCCAGCGUGACUCCUCCAUGCGAGCAGCUCCCCGAAGCGGUGCUCAUGCAGCUCCUGCUCCCAACAGCUGCGGCGCUCGUCCCUCUCCCACGGACACCACAGGUAGUUUGGUGGAGCGGUGCUGCAACUGGUGGCGGCGGCGGCCAUGGGUGAGGCCAUGGACGAGUAGACUGAUGGAAGACGAUGCCUCAGUGCUACAACCUGUCAGUUUUUUUUGCUGGACCAGUUAGCAAAAAAGCUGCAACCAGUUGCUGCCGCAGCACCACCACGGAAUCCACUCAGUCCAUCCAUCUAGCUCCAUUCUGACGAAGCGAAACCUCCACCCCCGGGGAAGCUUCAACCAGCUGAGCCAGAAGCUGCAACCGUCGUCGAAAUUAGCUACUAUUGGCAAGGAAUUUUCUACAUACAUCACGACAGAGAUGCGACCUACUACGGCAGCGGCUUUUUUUUGUUGCAACUGUCCUCAAAAAUUGGUACUACCAGUGAUGGAUUUUGCUACAUCCAUCAUGGCGGAGCUGAGACCGGCGACGGCAUCGAGAUGAAUUGUUGCAACCGUCUUUGGAUUUUUCUACUACCGGCGAGGGUUUUUGAUACAUCCAUCAUGGCGGAGAUGAGACCGGCGACGGCGGCGAGAUGAUUUUGCUGCGACCGCAGUUGAUUUUUGCUACUACCGCGUGUUUUGAUGGCGAGGGGCGGCGAUGACGCUAAGAGAGCUACAACCGACGCAUGACGAGAUGGAACUGAAGGCAGCAAAUGCUACAACCACCCCCAAGAUUUUCCUGGAACCAUGGCUGUGGGUGCUACGUAUUCGGGGAGGGAAACGACACAAUGUGACCGGUGCGGCGGUGACGAUGAUAAAGGCGAGGGGGACUAACCGGCGGCAGGGGAUGAGAUAUGGAGGUGCGGGGUCGCGCAAGAGAUGCGUGCGGGGGAGUGGGUUAAGCAGGAAGAGGUGGAGGGAGUUCGCGGGCGUGAGGAAGAUGACGACCGAGCCCACGAUCCGUUUUUCACGCGAGCAUGAUCAAGUGGACCAGAUUCUGCGCGGGCCAGAUCUGACGGACCGCAUGCGACCAUCUGAGUGCUUGGGCCGGCGCACCGGUGCCUAUUACUGGCCUGGUCCCCUAGCAGAACAUUGGAACUGGUCCACCCAAUUGGCAAGCGCGGCUACUCCAAAUCAGGAGGUUCUAGUUGCAGGUGCCGAUGAUACCAGUGCAGGUGACACAACCGAGCUCAAGUGGGAGCCCGAUG
Triticum urartu is the source of this 1414-nucleotide long non-coding RNA. RefSeq lists it as uncharacterized. NCBI's taxonomy places the organism in Eukaryota, Viridiplantae, Streptophyta, Magnoliopsida, Poales, Poaceae. The record is from RefSeq and is a predicted model, not a curated record.